RNAcentral lists this ribosomal RNA (1346 nucleotides) under uncultured bacterium. RNAcentral describes it as "partial 16S ribosomal RNA". It matches the Rfam family "Bacterial small subunit ribosomal RNA", at positions 28 to 1381 of the family's 1533-position model. The record is from RNAcentral.
GACGAACGCUGGCGGCGUGCUUAACACAUGCAAGUCGAACGGAAAGGCCCUGCUUUUGUGGGGUGCUCGAGUGGCGAACGGGUGAGUAACACGUGAGUAACCUGCCCUUGACUUUGGGAUAACUUCAGGAAACUGGGGCUAAUACCGGAUAGGAGCUCCUGCUGCAUGGUGGGGGUUGGAAAGUUUCGGCGGUUGGGGAUGGACUCGCGGCUUAUCAGCUUGUUGGUGGGGUAGUGGCUUACCAAGGCUUUGACGGGUAGCCGGCCUGAGAGGGUGACCGGCCACAUUGGGACUGAGAUACGGCCCAGACUCCUACGGGAGGCAGCAGUGGGGAAUAUUGCACAAUGGGCGGAAGCCUGAUGCAGCAACGCCGCGUGCGGGAUGACGGCCUUCGGGUUGUAAACCGCUUUCGCCUGUGACGAAGCGUGAGUGACGGUAAUGGGUAAAGAAGCACCGGCUAACUACGUGCCAGCAGCCGCGGUGAUACGUAGGGUGCGAGCGUUGUCCGGAUUUAUUGGGCGUAAAGGGCUCGUAGGUGGUUGAUCGCGUCGGAAGUGUAAUCUUGGGGCUUAACCCUGAGCGUGCUUUCGAUACGGGUUGACUUGAGGAAGGUAGGGGAGAAUGGAAUUCCUGGUGGAGCGGUGGAAUGCGCAGAUAUCAGGAGGAACACCAGUGGCGAAGGCGGUUCUCUGGGCCUUUCCUGACGCUGAGGUGCGAAAGCGUGGGGAGCGAACAGGCUUAGAUACCCUGGUAGUCCACGCUGUAAACGGUGGGUACUAGGUGUGGGGUCCAUUCCACGGGUUCCGUGCCGUAGCUAACGCUUUAAGUACCCCGCCUGGGGAGUACGGCCGCAAGGCUAAAACUCAAAGGAAUUGACGGGGCCCCGCACAAGCGGCGGAGCAUGCGGAUUAAUUCGAUGCAACGCGUAGAACCUUACCUGGGUUUGACAUGGAUCGGGAGUGCUCAGAGAUGGGUGUGCCUCUUUUGGGGUCGGUUCACAGGUGGUGCAUGGCUGUCGUCAGCUCGUGUCGUGAGAUGUUGGGUUAAGUCCCGCAACGAGCGCAACCCUUGUUCACUGUUGCCAGCACGUUAUGGUGGGGACUCAGUGGAGACCGCCGGGGUCAACUCGGAGGAAGGUGGGGAUGACGUCAAGUCAUCAUGCCCCUUAUGUCCAGGGCUUCACGCAUGCUACAAUGGCUGGUACAGAGAGUGGCGAGCCUGUGAGGGUGAGCGAAUCUCGGAAAGCCGGUCUCAGUUCGGAUUGGGGUCUGCAACUCGACCUCAUGAAGUCGGAGUCGCUAGUAAUCGCAGAUCAGCAACGCUGCGGUGAAUACGUUCCCGGGGCU